UACGAAGGUGGCAAGCGUUGUUCGGAUUUACUGGGCGUACAGGGAGCGUAGGCGGUUGGAUAAGCCCUCCGUGAGAUCUCCAGGCUUAACCUGGAAAGUGCAGAGGGGACUGUUCAGCUAGAGGAUGGGAGAGGAGCGCGGAAUUCCCGGUGUAGCGGUGAAAUGCGUAGAGAUCGGGAGGAAGGCCGGUGGCGAAGGCGGCGCUCUGGAACAUUUCUGACGCUGAGGCUCGAAAGCGUGGGGAGCAAACAGG
This 253-nucleotide ribosomal RNA is filed under the name uncultured bacterium. RNAcentral describes it as "partial 16S ribosomal RNA". It matches the Rfam family "Bacterial small subunit ribosomal RNA", at positions 524 to 776 of the family's 1533-position model. The record is from RNAcentral.